CCCGGCUUGGCGGAAUUGGUAGACGCAACGGACUUAAAAUCCGUGGAUCUUUCGAUCGUACCGGUUCAAGUCCGGUAGCCGGGACCA
Molecule: transfer RNA, 87 nt
Filed under: Magnetospirillum sp.
Lineage: Bacteria; Pseudomonadati; Pseudomonadota; Alphaproteobacteria; Rhodospirillales; Rhodospirillaceae
Also listed under: 2 other names
Description: tRNA-Leu
Rfam family: tRNA
About the family: Transfer RNA (tRNA) molecules are approximately 80 nucleotides in length.
Source: RNAcentral